ACGGCAGCGCGGGGCAACCUGGCGGCGAGUGGCGAACGGGUGAGUAAUAUAUCGGAACGUACCCUGGAGUGGGGGAUAACGUAGCGAAAGUUACGCUAAUACCGCAUACGAUCUAAGGAUGAAAGUGGGGGAUCGCAAGACCUCAUGCUCCUGGAGCGGCCGAUAUCUGAUUAGCUAGUUGGCGGGGUAAAAGCCCACCAAGGCAACGAUCAGUAGCUGGUCUGAGAGGACGACCAGCCACACUGGAACUGAGACACGGUCCAGACUCCUACGGGAGGCAGCAGUGGGGAGUUUUGGACAAUGGGCGCAAGCCUGAUCCAGCAAUGCCGCGUGAGUGAAGAAGGCCUUCGGGUUGUAAAGCUCUUUUGUCAGGGAAGAAACGGUGGGGGCUAAUAUCCCCCGCUAAUGACGGUACCUGAAGAAUAAGCACCGGCUAACUACGUGCCAGCAGCCGCGGUAAUACGUAGGGUGCAAGCGUUAAUCGGAAUUACUGGGCGUAAAGCGUGCGCAGGCGGUUUUGUAAGUCUGUCGUGAAAUCCCCGGGCUCAACCUGGGAAUUGCGAUGGAGACUGCAAGGCUAGAGUUUGGCAGAGGGGGGUAGAAUUCCACGUGUAGCAGUGAAAUGCGUAGAUAUGUGGAGGAACACCGAUGGCGAAGGCAGCCCCCUGGGUCAAAACUGACGCUCAUGCACGAAAGCGUGGGGAGCAAACAGGAUUAGAUACCCUGGUAGUCCACGCCCUAAACGAUGUCUACUAGUUGUCGGGUCUUAAUUGACUUGGUAACGCAGCU
Molecule: ribosomal RNA, 789 nt
Filed under: uncultured bacterium
Lineage: Bacteria
Description: bacterial SSU rRNA
Rfam family: Bacterial small subunit ribosomal RNA
Source: RNAcentral